CCUGGUUCUCGCCCCAGGCUGGAUCCACACAGCAGUGUUCUCCCAGUCCUGAAGCUCAGGAAGCCAAAUUGGGAGUGUCCUUUGCAGGGAGAAUAACUCAUUUAGUCCUUUCUCUGCUCCUCACCUUGAAGCCCAGGGGCUGCCAUGGCAGAAAACAAGUCUUAAAGUAUCCAGCCUCCACCCUGAGUACCCUCAAGGUAGAUUUGCUUGAUUCAAACCAAGAAACAUAAGGCAUCUAGGAGGGAAGUGAACAGUCAGACCUAUGUAAGCUGGGAGCUUUGGUGGUAUUGUGUUUGGGAAGUGGUGUUGACCAAGACAUUCUUGGUUUUGAAAGGGACAGGAGGUGGGGUGAGGUAAGUAGAUACCUUUUUCAUUUCUAGAACCACGAAGAUGCCAUGAUAUUUCAUUGAUCCUGAGGCCUGCUCCACAGGACACUGAGGCAGCUGCAUUGGUGCAACUAAAGAUGCUUGGUUACGAAAGAGGACUCCAUAUCUGUUGCAGGAGGCAAGGACAAUGGGGAGCUGGAAUGAGUGGUGCAGAGGAAGCCAGGGAGAUGAGGGGCUAAUCCGAGAUCAAGAUCCAAACUAGAGGGCCCCAUGGGCCAGUGUACCACCAAUAAUCAACAACACAAAACUAAGAGCAGUCACUGUGAUCAAAGAACAAUUUCUUCCUAGGAGACUCAACUCUAUAAAAGUACAAACUGUGUAGCUGCUGGAACUUCCCUGCAGUGUGCUACUGCCUUGGAAACAGUCCUGAGGGCAGACCAAGCAUCAGGGCCUGGACAGCUCCAAUCGUAGGGGACACCACCCUUGGCUACCUCUGGGCUCUGCUUGUUUAGAGAGCUUGAAGUCUCUGCAUGCUUCUUCCCACUGAAUAGCAG
Molecule: long non-coding RNA, 880 nt
Filed under: Heterocephalus glaber (naked mole-rat)
Lineage: Eukaryota; Metazoa; Chordata; Mammalia; Rodentia; Bathyergidae
Description: lncRNA (ENSHGLG00000042830.1)
Source: RNAcentral